Long non-coding RNA from Dalotia coriaria, 525 nucleotides. RefSeq lists it as uncharacterized. The transcript has 2 exons. The record is from RefSeq and is a predicted model, not a curated record. Lineage: Eukaryota; Metazoa; Arthropoda; Insecta; Coleoptera; Staphylinidae.
UCCUAAGCACCUGGGCAGCUUCGAAAGCUUCAUGCAUCAUAUAUACACGCUCGGUGUCGAGUUAAUACCUUGCAUUAAAUUGUCAUUUUAUAGAACAUUUGCUUUGUGAUACUGGGCCGUAAAAAAAGUGACUUCCGAGAAGAGCGGAUAAUUAUUGUUUCGGAGGCUGUGUGAACGUGACUGCUGUCACAGGGAUGGGCCCAGGCCAAGAAGUUUAUAAUGCAGCUUGAAAUUGGGCGAAAUCUACCUGGGACCAGCUGAACAACAGGUUGGGCACAGCGGGAAAGAUUAAAAAAAAAAUCAACAACAUGGACAGCUGUUAAUUUUCAAAGAAAAACGACUAAAAAAAAUUCUAGAAUUUUAAAUCGCAUUGGUGGCUUGUGGUUAUGAACUUGGCCUGAUUUAGAUGAUUGUACCAAUCAAUUGUAGUUCAUCUCGAGAUUACUGAUAUCAAUCCAUCUAAUUUCGCAUCAGUUGAGUUUCAAAUGUCAACUAACAUAUCUAUUAAUAGAUGAUCAAACUUCA